This 255-nucleotide ribosomal RNA is filed under the name uncultured bacterium. Its description in RNAcentral is "partial 16S ribosomal RNA". It matches the Rfam family "Bacterial small subunit ribosomal RNA", at positions 524 to 776 of the family's 1533-position model. The record is from RNAcentral.
UACGGGGGGAGCAAGCGUUGUUCGGAUUUACUGGGCGUAAAGGGCGCGUAGGCGGUCGUGACAAGUCACUUGUGAAAUCUCCGGGCUUAACUCGGAACGGUCAAGUGGAUACUGUCGGACUAGAGUACAGAAGGGGCAACUGGAAUUCUCGGUGUAGCGGUGAAAUGCGUAGAUAUCGAGAGGAACACCUGCGGCGAAGGCGGGUUGCUGGGCUGAUACUGACGCUGAGGCGCGAAAGCCAGGGGAGCGAACGGG